CAGAGCGAGCGCGUUUUACAGAAUUGGGCCGACGUGUGUAGAACUAGAGGUUUACGAUGGCGCUACUCAGGCAAAUUUUCGGAAGGGUGACUUCCAAGUCAUUGCAGGAAUUGUCUGCCAAGAAAACACCUGUAAUAACGAAUGGAUCGAGAAGGUUGGCUUCUGCAUUUACAUUUGUCCCUGAUGCAGCCUCUCCAUCGGAUGGGGAAACCACAAAGAUGAAUCUAUUUCAGGCUCUCAAUAAUGCUAUGGAUGUAGCCUUGACAACAGACCCUACUGCAGUUGUAUUUGGUGAAGAUGUUGCUUUUGGUGGUGUUUUCAGAUGUACUGUUGGGUUGGCAGAUAAACAUGGUAAAGACAGGGUAUUCAACACACCACUCUGUGAACAAGGGAUCGUCGGCUUUGGCAUCGGUAUGGCCUCGGUGGGAGCAACCGCUAUCGCUGAAAUACAGUUUGCUGAUUAUAUCUUCCCAGCCUUUGAUCAAAUUGUUAAUGAAGCUGCAAAGUUCCGGUAUAGGUCAGGCAAUAUGUUUGACGUCGGUGCUCUCACCAUCCGAGCGCCAUGGGGAGCGGUUGGUCACGGCGCCCUCUAUCACUCACAGAGUCCAGAAGCCUUCUUUGCACAUAUUCCAGGAAUCAAAGUUGUAGUUCCACGUAGUCCCAUCCAAGCCAAGGGUCUAUUAUUAUCCUGUAUACGAGAUCCCAACCCGUGUGUCUUCUUUGAACCCAAGGUACUCUACCGUGCAGCUGUUGAGCAAGUACCAGUCAAAGAUUACAUGGUUCCCUUGUCAAAAGCAGAAGUACUGCAAGAAGGCAGUGAUGUGACACUGGUAGGAUGGGGUACCCAGAUCCAUGUUCUGAGAGAGGUUGCCCAGCUAGCCCAAGAGAAGCUAGGAGUCAGCUGUGAGCUUAUUGACCUGGUUACCAUCUUACCAUGGGACAGAGAAACUAUAUUUAAGGUGAAUAUGGCCUUCCCGUUUCCUAUUUGAAUUUGUUUCGUCUCGCUCCCUUCUUUCAAAUCCAUCCAAGAGACUUCAAUUUUCCUGCUUGACUUUGAAUUUCUCCAACUCUAGCUGUAUUUCUCCUCUCUUAUCCCACCCUGUCAAAACUGUAUCUGCAUCAGCUGAUAUCACCUGAUUGUUACUACUAACCCUGAGAGUAGUCUCUGGUCAGGUCACAAGAAUUAUUGUGCUUUGUGCUGGUGAUGUCGUCUAUCUAAUGUGUUCUCUCCAACUGGGCAUGGUGACUUUGUGGUAGAACGCUCGCCUCAUGAACGGAAGGUCAUGGGUUCGAUCCCUGACCGAGUUAUACUAAAGACAUUAUUCCUAUGUGUUUAAGAUCGCAUGCUCGAUCAGAAAAAAUUGGAACCAGUGGGAUUUGAACCUGCCAUCUACUGCUUGCCAGGCAGCGACUCAACCACCAGGCUAUUCUGGUUUAAGGCUAAGUCACGAUGAACUGGAUUACAAAUACCCUCGAUCCUCUACUUUCUGACUCAUUAAUAUGCAAAUGCAGUCCACCGUGGACAAUAGAUAGUAAAUAAAUAAAUAGGCUUUUGUAAACAAAAUUUCGGCAUUAGAGAUCGAGCAUGCGAUCUUAAACACAUGGGAGUAAUGCCGAAAAUUUGUUUACAAAUUAUAAUUUCUCCUAUUAAAGCCUUAUUAUUUAUUUAUUUAUACUAAAGACUUAUGAAAAUGGGACCUCUGCCUUCUUGCUAUUCGCUCAGCAUUCAGAUCGGAGAAGGGUAGUAUUUUAUGCAGGGCCCACUGGUAGAGCCGUUUUUGUCUCGCCUGCAUAGCAGAGUGGACGUCGGCAGCAGCAGCGUCAACAUCAAAUCUUAACCUAAGGUUAAGUUUUUGAAAUGUCAUCAUAACUUAGAAAGUAUAUGGACCUAGUUCAUGAAACUUGGCCAUAAGGGUAAUCAAAUAUUACUGAACAUCCUGCCUGAUUUUCAGGUCACAUGACCAAGGUCAAAGGUCAUUUAGGGUCAAUGAACUUUGGCCAAGUUGGGGUAUUUGUUGAAUUACCAUCAUAACUCUGAAAAUAUAUUGGUCUAGUUCAUAAAACCUGGACACAAGAGUUAUCAAGUAUCACUUUGUGUGAGUUUCAGGUCACAUGACUAAGGUCAAAGGUCAUUUGAGGUAAGUGAACUUUGGCCAUGGAGGUUUUUAUUAAAUUGCUGUCAAAACUUUCAAAGUUUAUGGAUAUAGUUAAUGAAUUGUUGACAUACAAAGGGGUAAUCAAGUAUCACUGACAAGUCUUAGGUCACAUGAUCAAGGUCAAAUGUCAUUUAGGGUCAAUGAACGUAGUAUUUUAUCAUUAUAAGAAUGGUGUUUUUUGUGAAUACGUAUACAUGUAGUUUUGAAAGUCAGCACUGCUGCCAUAUUGAAUCGCGUAAUGCAGGUGAGACUGCCAGAGGCGCUCCACUUUCUAAAUGAAGUGACCACCCUCAGUUAAUAAAGAUGAAAUAUUAUUGUCUUUUCUUUUUGCCACAGUCUCCCGUGUGCUUGGAGUAUCCAUGGUAUUGUCUCGCUUAAAAGGUGCUUUGGGUUUGUGUCUUUACCAUUCCCAUCUAUCUGUCACCCAUUCCUUUUGCAAACUUGUACGGAACCUCAACAAAAGUCCUUCCCACAUGCAAGAUUUCAAAUUACCCUAAUUGACUUUUUGAAUAUUAAACUAGCACAAGUUCAAUGAGGAUAAGGGUGUGUUUCCACAACGAUAAUCCUAAUUAUUCAGUGAUAAUCUACAAGGUAUAACGUAUCCAGGGAGUCAUGUGAACAUGACUCACAAUGAGAUCAGAUUGAGGUCAGGUCAGGUGAUAUCCUUACGGCAUCCCUCAAUGUGAUUUUGACAUUGUUUACGUUUCUCGAAGUAGGUUCUCUAUUGUCUUUGUGGUUGCUCUAGGUUUCCUCGCUUUUAUUCGUAUUAUUGUGGGUUUUUUUUAGGGAAUGGAAAUUGAUUGUUUGAUUUUCGUUUGAGUUCUUUCAUUAUUCAUUGACUAGUGGACCUGCAUUUUGAACAUGGCUUACAUAAAUAAAAGGAGUGAAUCACUGCAAUGCACGGAACAUGCGCAAGCACCUAUUACCAGAACAUUGCUAGUCCAUCUAGUGGAAGAUAUUUAGAGAAAUCCAUGUUUUCAUGCACAGUUCAUUUGAUAGGCAUAUGAUAGUUUGGUCCUGCUCAGUUUUUUCUCGCAGUGCUUCACUCCGCCAGCUUUGUAUGCUGUGAAUGCAAAGCUACAUGAAUACAUCUAUCUUGAAAUAAUCUAUUCUGAAGAGUAUUGUAAUCUCGGUUUUAGCUCAAGCUGCCUUCCAGCGCUUAGUGCAUUCAAGGAAUUAAUCCUGCCGGGUACCCAUUCACCUCACCUUGGUUGAGUGCAGCACAAUGUGGGUAAAUUUCUCACUGAAGGGAAAGAAAACACGCUAUGGCUGGGAUUGGAACCCACGACCCUCUAUUAAUUGAAAGACGAGAGUCAGAACCACUAGACCGCAACACCCCAUACUGUAUGUUACAACAAGUCCCUGUCCUGUACUGGUCAAUUUCAUAUUGUGCAUUGCACUGACUAUGAUCAUAUUUAAGUGACUGCCACUUUAAAUAUCAGCCGAUCCUGUGUUAUUUGAUUCCUGCUGUUCAGUUGAUCAGAAUCAAUUUAGAAUCAAAACAACUAAAGAAAUUUGAUUUCAGUUUUCAAUGGAUUAUUCUUUUUAUCCAUAAAUAUGUACAUAUAUAUAUAUCGUUACGGAUUGUGUGCUCUUUCUGUAUGAUUAUAGAUUAUGUAAAUUUUUGACCGAUAAGCAAUAUUCAUACCAACAAUUCCUAGGAGUUUGUAGGGCCUCAAGUCUAUAAACAAGUAUUUCAAAACAAUGUGGGUCUAAUCUCUUGAUAACAGUAAUAGAUAAUUGUUUUAUAAAGGUGAACACAACAUGUACUUGGCAUCAUGCCCAAGAAUGUGAAGGAUCAAGAUUUAGGACAGUCCCCUAUUGAGACGAAGUGAUACAUAUAUACUUGAACUUAGUUUUGUGUAAAAUAUUACUUGCUUUAUUCUGUGCCCUGUGGAGCAUUCAGACACAAAUCUUAAACAAUUAGAAAUGUUCAAGUAAAACUGUAUGUUAUAGUCCUUGUUGGCCUUCAUCCACAGGGCCAAUUAUAAACAUAAAGGUUAGCAAUAAAUUACAAAUAUGAAAGAACCACUCUGAUUGGUUACUGGUCAUUGUCUUGAUCAAAGUGUGCAUGCAACAAUGAUUUUGAUUGGUCAUUGGCAUUAAGCAAUUGAUCUCAAACCUUUUUUGUAGCCCAGAUCAUUUAAAAUAUGACCUCGCCUCGCACAGUUGGGGGGGGGAGGUCUUUGUAUUUGCCCCCC
RNA transcript from Lytechinus pictus (painted urchin), 4357 nucleotides. It is a transcript of the gene named 2-oxoisovalerate dehydrogenase subunit beta, mitochondrial-like, with no coding region annotated. NCBI's taxonomy places the organism in Eukaryota, Metazoa, Echinodermata, Echinoidea, Temnopleuroida, Toxopneustidae. The record is from RefSeq and is a predicted model, not a curated record. The transcript is spliced from 9 exons.